This 64-nucleotide transfer RNA is filed under the name Gyrodactylus brachymystacis. Its description in RNAcentral is "tRNA-Gln". Lineage: Eukaryota; Metazoa; Platyhelminthes; Monogenea; Gyrodactylidea; Gyrodactylidae. The record is from RNAcentral.
UAUAGAGUGAUGUAUCAUUAGCAUAAUGCUUUUUGGUAGCAUAGGAGGUAGAAACCCUCUAUAA